Molecule: long non-coding RNA, 682 nt
Organism: Centropristis striata (black sea bass)
Lineage: Eukaryota; Metazoa; Chordata; Actinopteri; Perciformes; Serranidae
Exons: 4
Source: RefSeq, a predicted model, not a curated record
AGCCCUGAAAGCUGAAGCUGCAGAACAGUCACCUUAUCAGACACCUACAGCAUUCCAGCAGGCUUUUGGAGCUGAGCCUCAACAGUCUCCAGAUGACUCCAGAGUAAGAGCUGAAGGAACAGAAUGAAGACCAAAACAUCUGAGGAGUGUUUAAACAGGGUGUGAGCAGAAUCGCAAGCAACAUCUUUCAGUCUGACAAGCCUUGAGCCGGGAAAAUAACUUUCAUCCAGCAAAUGUCGAAGGUUGACAGCAUCUUCCUCAGCGUUUGACAGGAGGACAUGGUCUGGCAGCACCUUAUGGAGAACCUGGCAUCACAAAUUGGUUGAUUCUAUCUUGCAGCCCUGAGCAGUCUGAACUGUGGACACUGACCUGAGAAACAUCCUGCAGGGAGACCAUCUGGCUGCCUGUAUGCUCCUCAGCAUUAACAGCCACUUGGAUGAGUCUGUUUUUAUCGCAGAGCUUUAGAGCUAUUUUUUUUUCAUGACCCUAUGUGGGAGGUGACUCCACUUGAACUUUGACACUGACCUCUUUUUUUGAAUAAUUCAAUGUUAUUUGUAUGGUAUUAUACACGGUCUCCCGUAAAGUUGGGAUAAACAUUUUUUUUAUUUUUUUUACCUUUUUCCAUUAUAUGAUUGUGACAGUGUGAUUUAUUAUUGACAGAUAAAGUGUAUAUCUUCUCAAA